GACGAACGCUGGCGGCGUGCCUAAUACAUGCAAGUUGAGCGCUGAAGGUUGGUACUUGUACCAACUGGAUGAGCAGCGAACGGGUGAGUAACGCGUGGGGAAUCUGCCUUUGAGCGGGGGACAACAUUUGGAAACGAAUGCUAAUACCGCAUAAAAACUUUAAACACAAGUUUUAAGUUUGAAAGAUGCAAUUGCAUCACUCAAAGAUGAUCCCGCGUUGUAUUAGCUAGUUGGUGAGGUAAAGGCCCACCAAGGCGAUGAUACAUAGCCGACCUGAGAGGGUGAUCGGCCACAUUGGGACUGAGACACGGCCCAAACUCCUACGGGAGGCAGCAGUAGGGAAUCUUCGGCAAUGGACGAAAGUCUGACCGAGCAACGCCGCGUGAGUGAAGAAGGGUUUCGGAUUGUAAAACUCUGUUGGUAGAGAAGAACGUUGGUGAGAGUGGAAAGCUCAUCAAGUGACGGUAACUACACAGAAAGGGACGGCUAACUACGUG
This 497-nucleotide ribosomal RNA is filed under the name uncultured bacterium. RNAcentral's name for it is "partial 16S ribosomal RNA". It matches the Rfam family "Bacterial small subunit ribosomal RNA", at positions 28 to 507 of the family's 1533-position model. The record is from RNAcentral.